GACGAACGCUGGCGGCGUGCCUAAUACAUGCAAGUCGAGCGAAGUUUUUCUGGUGCUUGCACUAGAAAAACUUAGCGGCGAACGGGUGAGUAACACGUAAAGAACCUGCCUCAUAGACUGGGACAACUAUUGGAAACGAUAGCUAAUACCGGAUAACAGUAUUUCUCGCACGAGAGAUAUUUAAAAGUUGUUUAUGCUAACACUAUGAGAUGGCUUUGCGGUGCAUUAGCUAGUUGGUGGGGUAAAGGCCCACCAAGGCGACGAUGCAUAGCCGACCUGAGAGGGUGAUCGGCCACACUGGAACUGAGACACGGCCCAGACUCCUACGGGAGGCAGCAGUAGGGAAUCUUCCGCAAUGGGCGAAAGCCUGACGGGGCAACGCCGCGUGAGUGAAGAAGGAUUUCGGUUCGUAAAGCUCUGUUGUUAGGGAAGAAUGGAUAUGUAGUAACUAUACAUGUAAGAGACGGCACCUAACCAGAAAGCCACGGCUAACUACGUG
This 499-nucleotide ribosomal RNA is filed under the name uncultured bacterium. RNAcentral's name for it is "partial 16S ribosomal RNA". It matches the Rfam family "Bacterial small subunit ribosomal RNA", at positions 28 to 507 of the family's 1533-position model. The record is from RNAcentral.